AGUUUGGCCAUAGCAAGCCUGCUGGACCCUGGACCCUCCUGCAGUUCUAUUUCCUGGUGCUAGUUUGUCUCUGCUUCUGGACUUUGCCUGGUGGAUUUCCUCCCAGAUUGGUACUUGACAUCUGACUAGGGUUGCCAACUCUGGCUGAAGCUAUUCCAAGAGAUUUUGUUUUCUGCUAUUCAACCCGUUCACAAUAUCCAACUCCCAGAUUGCUUUCUGUAGUCACGGGAAGAUCGAUGCCGAUUCCGGUAGAUUCCCGGCCAAUCAGGGAGGGUUGGCAACCCUACAUCUGAUCCCUGCCAGGUCCUGGCUCUGGGCUGUGUUGUGGACCCUGCCUCUGGAUGGCUCUCCCUCUAGCUUGGUAUAUGGCUCCUGGCCUUUGACACAGCGCAAGGCCCUGCUUUCCCUCCAUGGCCUAGCCAUUAGGCCAGGCUGCCUAUGCCCCUGGUCCAUUACAGAUUCUCUCGAUAGUUUUCUCCUCUUGUUGCCUGAAAUCCACAUCUUUUACCUUCACUGCUCUGAACAGCUGUAGCUCAGUUCAUGUGACAACUGUUCCUUUUUUCCUGUUCUUCCUAACCUGUCUUUUGGUGUUCCCUUCAUAUCUCUUACUCAUUCUCUCACUUUCUCCCAUGUUGCUGGGUUCAGAUUAGUCUGCCCAUUUCCUUAUUGGCAAAAAAGCAAGUAUUUUUGGAGGAGUGAUACUUGUUCUUUGGGAUUAGAGACACCACCCAUCCCUAAUUGGGCAGGACAGUUCUGGAAUGGGAACCUCAAAUCCCAGUCCCUGCAUGACUCCAGAACAGCAUUUGUCCCAGAUUUACAGCAAUGUGCAGGAAUCCACGGGAAACAACGGGUAUUCCAGCCUGCAAGGGACUGCCAGGAGCAGGACGUAGGGGCACAGGCAGAUUAAUGCAUGGGGCCCCUGCCAAACAGGGACUCCCUGGGGUGCCACUGGCAGCAUGGCCCAUGCAGGCAUUCUAGCCGUGGGCAUCUGGGGGAGGCAGUGUGUGCCUCCUCCCCUGUGGCUGGGCCAGAGCCAGAGGCUAGAGCAGUGGGCACAGGGCUUCAUGCAGGUGGUGGUGGCUUCCCAGGGUCAUUUGUUGCCAGGGGGCCCUAUGGGCAGCCCUGCUCCUGCUCCCACUCUCUGCCAUCUGUGGGUGGCCACCAGCCCCAACGCCACUGGAACAGGAUAGGACAGUCCCUCUCCCCAGGGCCGACAGAGGGACUGGCAGGCAGCUAGGGGUGGCAUGGAACCAGUGCCUUGCCCCGAGCCAGCCCCAGCCUAGCUGCUUGACACCCACUAGGUGGAGGGUCCGGGAUAGGUCAGGGCUGGGCUGCCUUUAUCUCAAUGGCACUCGCCCCCUGGCUUGCUCCGGAUGUGCUGAGGAGGCUGGCUAGGCCCAGCCACAGCACCCUGGUGGGUGCAGAGGAAACCUACCCUUGCAUGAUGGGGGCCUCCAAUUUUCUGUUUGCCCAGGGCCACAAUAAAUCUUAAUCUGCCACUGCACAGGGGGCACCACGUGCAUGUGCACUCCUGCACUCAUGCAAGUGUCUGGGAAUAUAACCAGGCAGCAUGGAGAGCAGCUCCUUGCAAGUAAGUCCAUGGGUGGGGGGGGCACAGAUUGAGGCCCCCCCCACAGUGAGGGAGAGAGUGGGGCUUGGGGUGCUACCCAGCCAGGACAGUCAUGGGGCUGGGGCAUGGAGCAGGACAGAACCACAGCUGGCUCAUCCAGGGAGUGGAAGGCAUGGGGGGCAAGGAACCUGCCUCCCCAGAUUUGUGCAUGAGGCAGGGGCGGAUGCUGGCUGGCUGCUGCAGACUCUGGGCUCCCUGCCCUGCUGCUGUUCCCCCAGAGCCCCACACUGGCUGUGCCACCAUGGCGAGGCACCCCCUGCCCACCUGGUAACAGCGGGGGUGGCAGUGGCAUGGAGUUGUGCCCCCUGCUGCUGCGGGACUCCCAGAGGAAAGGCACCAGGGCAGAGAGCCGAGAGCCCACAGUAGGCAGCCCACAUCCACCCCUGCUCUGUUCGGCUCUCCUCCAGCCGUGCUGCCGGCAGGGAGAAGGGCAGGGAGGGAGGAAGGCAGGUAUGUGUCCCACCUUUCCAUUUUGAAAAGUUGAUCAUCCUAUUUGGGAUAAAGUGAGACAAGCUUUCCAAUACAAUGUUUUUUCAUUGAAAUGCCAUCCUCCCCUCACUUCUCUCUGAGGGUGAAGUUACACUUAAUAUUUCAUAGAUUUAUUAUGGGCUAUAUGGCAUCAAAGUUAGAACAUGCUGUGAGCAGUCAGACAUAAAGGAUUAACACAGUUUCUUGCCUGCACAGCUCUAAAGGGUUGAGGGACAUAGCUAGGAACCAACACACAGCUCUAGUCCUGUUGGAGGGGGAGGAGUGGGGCCUUGGGAGCAAUGCAUCCGGGGGUGCUGGAGGACUUAUAGUUGCUUGUUUCAUCCCUGCAGUGGACUGAAGUUACCAUAACAAGCUAGGCAGGAUGGCCCAGAGUUAAACUUCACCUAAAGUGGUAUAACUGUGAGAUGCUCACAGGGCACUUAGCACGAAUUCAGCUUUUAAUAUGCAAUGCUCAUGUCUUCAGUGCCCUUAGUAUUGUCUAAGUUAGGGGUGGGAAAAAUGGUGGAUCCAGAGAGCAGCCAGAUUCCAUUUCCCAGCAGCCCCUGCCCACAUGGCUCACAUGUUGAUCCUGGGAGCAGCAGGGCUGUGACAGCGUGGGGCCACAGAGUCAGGGCUCUGCCCCAGCCUUGCCCUGCAUUGUCAUGGCCCCACACUGUCAUGGUCCUGUGCUCCUGGGGUCUCCAUGGUGCAUUGUGGGAAGGGCAUAUGGCUGGGCUGGGACCUUGUGCACUGACAGUGCGGGCCCGGAGGUGAAGCAGAGCUGCAAUCCACUCCCUGCAUGGCACUGCCCAUGGAACCCACACUCAUUGCAGGGGCAUGUGGGCAGCAGAUCACAGCUUUGCCUUGGCCUUGGCCCUGGCCCCUCAGGGUCUCCUGGGCCCUGCCUGCCCAUCUCACUCCCAACCACAGCCCCAUCUUGGCCAUGCACCCUGCCUGCAUGGGUCCUGCCCCUGGCGGUGGGUACAGGGUGGAUGGGCUGGGGAGCCCCAGCAACAGGGCUGGGUCCAGUGGCCACCACCAGAAGGAGCUGCCACUGCAGGGGCUGUUGCAAAAUAGUUGCAGGCCUGAUCCAGCCUGUGGGCCAGACUGCCCACCCCUGGUCUAAGUGGAACUUGUAACUUCACCCUAUCACAUGCUUCUUUCAGGUGCCCUUUCCAAUGAUUUUUCCACACCUAAAAUGUUGCUCUGUUUUGUUCUUUUUUUAAAGUAGUUUCAUAGAGCUCAAGAAAGCGGUAAUUUAUGUGAAGUACUGAAUAACAACCCUGUGGAACUGUCAGGCCUCCCACCAUCAGUACUAAAAGGUACAAGCAAUUCCCUGCAGGUGCAAAAUUUGCAUAUCGUACAAUGAGUAAGCACAGGCACUUACUGGCAGGGUAAAACACAUUAGUGGAUUCUUCAAAAAUUAGUACUAGAGGAAUACAUUUUAAAAUUGCUUGUGUGAUUUCUUGAAAUGAAUAUUCCAGGGCAGAAACAAAUUAUCUAGGUACCUCAAGAACCAAUAUGAACGGAUAUAUAUUACUUUCUUGGAUAUUUUUUCCCCUGCUGGUAAAUUGCCACUUCGUGAUAUAACUAGCUUUAGGAACAGAGCUAUUGUUCCCCUGUACCUGAAAUUGAGUUCAGUUCCUCAUUGCUUUCUCAGUAUUGUGAUCCUUUCCUCCUCUUUUAUUUUCUUUGGUUGAGACUUUUGUGUGUAGUCAGCUGUCCUAGAGCCAGGACUAUGAUCCAAACAACACAGAAGCCAAUAAAAGACUGACUUCAAACUCCUGGCCAAAUGUUCCUAGUACCCUACAUAAUAGAAGUGCAAGAUUCCAGGCAAGAAUACCUUGCAUAGGAAGCACAAAAUAGUCGUAGCUGGAAUACCAGACAGUCUGUCAGAUGGCAGGAAACUGUAGGUCAUGUAGGUCACCAAGAACUCUUGUCAGAACACAAGCUGGCUGAUAACAGAUGAUUCCAAGAAUAGCAAGUGCUUGCUUCUAGGAGCAUGCUGUCAUUUCUGCCACUGGAAAUUAAAGCCUAUUAUAAAGGGCAGAUUUGGGAAAGAUCAUUAUGGGGGAUGAAAGAACAGUAGCCACAUGAUAGGCCUUAAAGAUGAAUAUCAAGGACACCUGGCUAUGUAUUGAAAGCAGAGUGGGCUACCAGAUAUUAGACCAGUGAUCCUCAACUAGGGUGCCAUUGCACCCUGGGGUGAGUUGAGAUCCUUUCAGAGGUGCUGGGAAGUGCCAUGCAAUCUUAGCACUGUUUGGUGUGCAAAUAUUAUUAAUAAAAUAAGCCCAGAGAUGUCAGAUUGGAAUCCAUAGUGUUAAAAGUAUUCUGAUCUGUUGUGGCCUUUCUGAGCUCUUUGCAACAGAAGAAUCACUCUCUUUCUCUCUCUCUCUCUCUAUAUAUAUAUAUAUUUUUUUAGUCAAAAAUCAAGUGAAGACUAAGAGCUAACAUUUUCUGAGGGGUACCUUGAAUCUAAAAAUGUUAGAUUAUAUGUAAAAAUAAUUGGGGUUUGCCUUUGGUAUUAAUAGUACCGUAAAAUGAAAUGGUUUUGUAAACCAAUCUGUAAUAUUAGGUGGAGUUACGUCCAUGAAAAACUUGAACAAAUUUAUUUCCAGAUAUUAAUGUGUGUUUUAUCUUACCCACCUCUAUCAACUUUCUUGUUAUUAGAGAAGCGUGUCUUUCUGAAAGUCAAUACCAUAAGCCUGACAUUUAGGACUGAUUUUGCAGUCAGUGGAAUCUGCUGUGGGUCUUCCAAUAGAAAGGUAAAACAAUUGCAUUUCCUCCCUAGUAACCUGCUAGUGAAGACCUCCUUAAUUUUUGUUCAUCUGUAACUGAUCAGGAGAGUUGAGAGAGGCAAUAACCAAAAUCAUGGGCAUUGCCAAAAACAGGAAAAGGGAACAAAUCAGUUUUGCAACCGCAUACACAAAAUUAUCCUUCAUAGUUACUGAUCCACUUAUGUUAUUCUGUCUUUUUAUAUAUUUAUAAAUUUCAUCUCUCAGGCCAAAUUAGCCAAAUCAGCUCCAAAUUCUAAUGACUGAGCAGAGCUUAAUUAUUCAAGUCCUACUUGCCAGUGUGGCACCACCACUGGCAAGUAUCCUACCUCCUAGAUUCUUCAGCCUGGGGCUUCAGGCACUCCCACAUCCAAGGCAGACAUCCUACUUGCAGGUCUCAAGUUCAGAGGCCUUGGAGUUCAGAUGCCCCCUAGUCUCACUUGCCCCUAGCCAAAAGGCCAUAGGAGCAAGCUAGAGGAAGAAGCCGAGAGCAGUCUUCCAUCACCAUAAAUUGUGUAGCCGAGAGGGAGGCUAUAGUAGACACUCACAGGGGUGCCCGCACACAGUGCAGUGGACAAGUCUCCAUCCUCAGGUACACCAAGUUAGGCUGAGAAGAAAGGGAUCUCCCCUGCCAGGUACAUACAACCAGCUGGGCUGACACCAACAUCAUGGCAGUCUGUCUUUGUGCUGACUGUUAUGUAAUGAAUGAUGUCACAAUUUGUUUCAGCAUACAGUUCACUUCAGUACAGAGGUCACCACAGCUGUCUAGCCACAAGGUAAAGGCAACAUGGUAUGUUGCUUGAAAUAAAUUCUUUGAGAACCAGUAUUGCAUCUCUAACCAUUUGGUAUGUAAUGUUUGGCUGACAAAAGCAGUACAUCUUGAGCAAAGAAUCCCUCAGAAGAAUUUUACAAUGAUCGUUGUCUUUUGGAUAAUUUUCCUUCUGGGAAUAACAGCAAAGGAGAGGUUUUACCUACCAGCACCACCUGCUGAGGCUCGCUAUGAACGGCAAAAGAAAUACGACUCAGCAAAAAAGUAACCAACGUAGUACUACAGCCAUACACUGCCAAACGCAGAGCAAAUCAUUAAGCUUCAAGAAUGACAAGGGUGCUGUGUAACAAAUGCCAUUUCGAAGCUAGACACUCGCUUAUGAAUAACACUUGUUGAUGGCUUCAAGCUUGAUGACAUAAGAUGGCAUCCAGCACCUUGCACCAAGAGUCCUCAACCUGGUCAGGUGCCCUGUUCCCAUUGGUGGUUUUACAUAAAGCAAUUGCACAACAUUUUGUCAUUUGUAUAAGUGUUGCCUAAGACCUUAAAAUUAUAUCCACAAAUCCCUCUCUCAGAGCCUGAAAGACUGAAGUUCUACCCUGCCUUGAUAUAUUUGGGGAGUAUAUCUAAUUUUAACCUGCUGUAGAAAGAGUAUUCUCUCUUAUCCAAUCCAUGUGGGAAAUAUUAAGCCAUAUAUCAGCCUAGAUAACUGAAAGUUCACAUAUAGUUUCUAAAUCUACAAAAAUAGAAUGGAGCAGGAGGGAGAGAACUUAAGACUCAGUCUUGCAAGGUGUCACGCACUAGCAAAGACUUAAACACACGCUUAACUUUAAGUACAAAUAAUCCUCUUGAAGUAGUGGGAGUACAGCUCUACUUACACACACAGUUGGGCAGGGACUAGAGUGUUCAACACCAAAGAUAGAAAUCCUUGAUGAGCAAGUUACAGAAGACUAUAAUACUUAAAGAUAUUCACAAGAUGUUCAAAAUACUUUCUAUUUGAGCAUGACUGGUAUUUACCGGGCAGGUACCUCAGACUUUCAACUCCCCUGUUAAAUUAUUACAACUCCCUUCUCCAAGAAUACAAGACCCAGCAGAUACAGAAGGCCUCUGCUUACCUCCUGCACAUUAACUCUGUAAAUUAAAGGAGUGUAAUACCAUUUGAGAAAGCAAAGUAGUAGUAUAUUAUUUAUAGGUCAUCUGUCAGGUAGUCUCUCAGAUAUAUCACAACCCAAUUCAAAAGAGACUGUUGCUAGGUCUGGCUUGAUGAAAGAGUCCUUUUCUGCUUCUCAUUACAGUCUGCACAGGUGCAAGGCAGUUGAAAACUGAGGUUUGGAUUUUUACUUGCAUAUUCCUUCUGUUCCAAAGGCUGGUAUUCUUCACCAGCAAGAAGUAAUAGAAAAGGUACAGGCAGAGAGGUUUUCUUUGAGGUUUCACAGAAAAGAGUAAGGUAUUCAGUUACAGAAAAACUGAACCACUUUCUCCCAUGCUUAGGUAAAGCAUUAAAAUUAUAUACUGAUGUAACACUUAGACAAUUCUCAAACACCUGGCCUGUUGGAGGCCCCUUCCAUCAACUACCAGUCUUUUAUCAAGGCAUCCAAGUAGUGGCUUGCGCCAGCAACAUGGUCCACAGGCCACAAGUGGUCUGUAAGCAUGUAACAUGCAGUUGGUGAGACCCAGUGGUCACCUCUCCCACUACUGCAUGGCAGGGAACAGCCUGGGGGUCCAUACCCUGCCUGUACAGCCAGAGCAGCAGGGGGGCACCCUGUGCAGUUGGCAAUGGUGGGGGGCUGCAUGCUGCCAACAGAGCUGCCUGUGGAGCACCCCCCCCCACACACACACUGAAUUUGGGCAGCACUGUUUUAACUCAUUCACUGUAUGCACUAUGAAAAGAAAGAAAAGCCACAAUUUUCACACUUAGUUUUAUUCUCUGUGUGAAACAAUGUUGUACUGAAAACUUUGCAUCUACCAACUUCAGCCUGGGUAAUUUUAAAGUAAAAUGAAAAAGAGGCAUCUCAGUAGGGGAACACAAUAAAGAAAAUGUGUUAGUAGUAUUUUUGAGAAAGUAUUUCUAGGAAUCAGUCCUCUGACCAGUGAAAAGACCAGAUCCCAUGGAAGGGUAUGACCUGUGUAUAUUUAGGUAACCAUAACAGAAUUGAAAUUACAUGUAAGGCUUGCAUGUUAGGACAGGUGUGUGGAAAUUGUGCUUCUGAAGUAGAGAAAAUAGUCCAAGCAAAUUAAAUUCUGUGGAUCAGAGAAAAUCAGGUGCAAUACAGGUAGCAGCAUCACCACCUCCAAAGCACCACACCAAACUGUCUUUGGUUCUGGAAACACCAGGUUUAGAGAAAGUGGGUAAGCUCUCUUUCCUUAUUCACCAUUUCCCUCCUAAGGCAACCAGCAAGUGGCCAAAUACAGUUGUGAUGUCUUUUUUUUGGCAACUAGACUAUAACCAAACUUACUGGCACAUCACUACAUACUCGUCAUUCAAAACCUACUGACAACCAUAGCUAGACUUGAAUAUGGCAAUAUUCAGGGGUUUAAAAUCCCAUAAAUCCCUUGAGAUAUCCACUACUCUCCCCGAAGCAUUAAAAUAAAAAUUACCUAAUCAAAGCUCAAUGUGAUAAGCAUUACAUGUACAACACUAUAUUGCUAACAUUGCAAGUGUGGAUUCCCACUGGAUGCAUAAAUCUAGGAAAAAGAAGUUAAAUAAACAUUUUCUGCAAA
Alligator mississippiensis (American alligator) is the source of this 8359-nucleotide long non-coding RNA. RefSeq lists it as uncharacterized. The transcript is spliced from 2 exons. Lineage: Eukaryota; Metazoa; Chordata; Crocodylia; Alligatoridae. The record is from RefSeq and is a predicted model, not a curated record.